Brassica napus (rape) is the source of this 2018-nucleotide long non-coding RNA. RefSeq lists it as uncharacterized. The record is from RefSeq and is a predicted model, not a curated record. Lineage: Eukaryota; Viridiplantae; Streptophyta; Magnoliopsida; Brassicales; Brassicaceae. The transcript is spliced from 2 exons.
UCAUCACUUUAUUCCAAGAUACUCAUGAACCUGAAAACAUACCUAAUAGGAUAGAAUAUAUAAUAUAUAGAUAGUAAAAUACUUAUAUACCAUGGAUGGAAAUGGGUGAAAUCCAUGGUAUGUCAAGAAGUCUUCUAAAAGUUUUCCCGAAGUAUUCUCACUGUCGCAAGAAGUCUGUGUGGGUUACUUUGCAAUUGAAAAAUAAUAGUGAAACAUCACAAUACUAAAAGGGGGAUUUCCUAAAAAUCUAACUAUGCCACGUCAUCAUAAAUAAUCAUCCAAUCACAACAUUUCAUUUUCGGGUCUGGGCUUAAAAUUUGUUCUGAAUGGACUUAGUGUGUGUGGGCUUCGUUUAAUUUGGGUUUGGGCUUCUUCGAUUAUCUAAACCUAGAUCUACGAAGAUGAAGUCGCGAGUCUCUUCGUCUUCUCCCCUUGAAACCGUAGCGUCUGAGUUUUGAUCAUCCCUUCUUCACAAUCAAUUCUCCACAAUCAAUUUCCUCUCCAUUUGUCUAUUAAAUCUCUUCUCUUAGCUUAUGUGUUGAUUAAAAUUGAAAAGCUUCUUUCAGACAAUCAUCCAGAUGGAACCCAAAGGAAACUCUUCAAUCUCCAGCGAUGGCAAGACCAACAAGAAGACCGCCGCCUCCUCCGCGACUGCGAGAACAGACUAAACGGGAAGUCCACCGCUUCCUCCGCCAUUGUGAUGAAACCCAACGGGAAGUCUACUGUUUCAUCUGCCAUUAUGAUGAAACCAAACUCUUCUACCGCUCUCUCCUCUGCGCAUGGCAAUCAAGUGAUGUUCUUCAGAGAUGUUUCACUCCUCCCACGAUUCGUCAUUGAAAGCUUCCUCAAUUACUUUCUUUCUAUGAAUCUUUAAUUAUAAAUACAUAAAUCACAUCCUGUGAAAUUCGUCAUUUCGAUCCAGAACUUUGGGAGAUGAUUUCAUUUUCGUUUGUUGAUGUUGUUUAUGUUUGUUGGUGUAUCGCAGGCCACAAUCGUGGAAGCUACCGUUACCGUACAAUGUUUCACCAUCACCGUCAAGCUGACUGUUUAGAAUCGUCAGCUGCAGCUUUGGUCAUUCAGGCGUUGAAAGAGCCGGAGAGAGACCGUAAAAAAGUUAAGAACUUUACUAUGAUGAGAUUAAUAUUCCAUUUGAUUAUUUCAUUGAGAUUGCUAGGAUGAGGCAUAAAUCUAUUGCAAAAGAGCUGAGUUAGCCAUAUUUUGGAAACAUGUGUCGGUGUUGGAUUCACCGUUGAUGGAUAGGAUCCAAAGUAUCCUAGACAGUAUAUUCAAGGUGAGUUCGAUAUUCAUGAUUACCAAACGCACACAGAAAAAUAUUUAAUGGGGAUUGAAAGAUGUUGUCUUCUCUUUUUCAUUUUUUUUUCAGGGUGAGCUGCUAUGUUUUUUCUCUUAGAAUGACUCACGUUUUGAUUAAUGUUGGUUUGCGUUCUUAUGUUUAACAAUCCCAAUCGUUUACCAAUCUCAAUAUUAUUUCUGAUUUUGUUGAGGUAAAAGAAACAGAAAGUUACAUAGAUUUCUUUCAUAUCAUUGUUUUCUAUUGCUCUCAUAUUUAACCCUUCUCCAGAAAGUUAUAAGAUCUUUGAUGCCCAUCAAAAUACUUUGGGUUACAUUUUUGCUUUUCUGCCUUUUUUUUUGUUUUCUAGGAACUGACCAAUUUGUCUUGAUUUGGUUUUUGUGUAGAGCUUUUGUAAACUGGGAAAACGCUGACGUUGUUCGAGAAAAAGAGUAGCAGGCUAAGGGUCUGACCUUCCACCCCGAAAGACCAAGGAAUCACGCCACUUUUCACAGAGGUGUCAUCCAGCUCUGGUAUUAUCAAUGGGUUCGUUCGUUCACUCCACAACUUAUCUUCCUCUAGAAGGAAAGUUUGGAGCACCCUAGGAUGAAAAGAGAAGCAACCACAUUCAUAAAGAAAUUGAUCGUUGUGCUUAAAGAUGUUUACAUAUAUUUGUUUCUUUUUGCUUCUUCAUUCUAUUUAAAAACAAACUUUGAAUUUCAGAGAA